UAGGGAAUAUUGGACAAUGGGGGCAACCCUGAUCCAGCAAUGCCGCGUGAGUGAUGAAGGCCUUAGGGUUGUAAAGCUCUUUUACCCGGGAUGAUAAUGACAGUACCGGGAGAAUAAGCUCCGGCUAACUCCGUGCCAGCAGCCGCGGUAAUACGGAGGGAGCUAGCGUUGUUCGGAAUUACUGGGCGUAAAGCGCGCGUAGGCGGCUAUUUAAGUCAGAGGUGAAAGCCUGGAGCUCAACUUCAGAAUUGCCUUUGAGACUGGAUAGCUAGAAUCCUGGAGAGGUGAGUGGAAUUCCGAGUGUAGAGGUGAAAUUCGUAGAUAUUCGGAAGAACACCAGUGGCGAAGGCGGCUCACUGGACAGGUAUUGACGCUGAGGUGCGAAAGCGUGGGGAGCAAA
RNAcentral lists this ribosomal RNA (400 nucleotides) under uncultured bacterium. RNAcentral's name for it is "bacterial SSU rRNA". It matches the Rfam family "Bacterial small subunit ribosomal RNA", at positions 355 to 772 of the family's 1533-position model. The record is from RNAcentral.